This 78-nucleotide small RNA is filed under the name Flavobacterium sp. TAB 87. RNAcentral's name for it is "Flavo-1 RNA". It matches the Rfam family "Flavo-1 RNA". The record is from Rfam by way of RNAcentral. Lineage: Bacteria; Pseudomonadati; Bacteroidota; Flavobacteriia; Flavobacteriales; Flavobacteriaceae.
UUUUAGCCCCGAUAGCAGCUGCAUCCUUUUUCUGGCUUCUUUAGCCAGGAAAAGAUACAGCGAAUAGCGGGAUUAGCU